CAAAUCUUAGCGGUGGAUCACUCGGUUCGUGGAUCGAUGAAGAACGCAGCUAGCUGCGAUAAAUAGUGCGAAUUGCAAACACAUUGAGCACUAAAAAUUCGAACGCAC
This 108-nucleotide ribosomal RNA is filed under the name Ascaris lumbricoides (common roundworm). RNAcentral describes it as "partial 5.8S ribosomal RNA". It matches the Rfam family "5.8S ribosomal RNA", at positions 1 to 109 of the family's 154-position model. From Rfam's summary of the family: 5.8S ribosomal RNA (5.8S rRNA) is a component of the large subunit of the eukaryotic ribosome. It is transcribed by RNA polymerase I as part of the 45S precursor that also contains 18S and 28S rRNA. Lineage: Eukaryota; Metazoa; Nematoda; Chromadorea; Rhabditida; Ascarididae. The record is from RNAcentral.